Long non-coding RNA from Armigeres subalbatus, 798 nucleotides. RefSeq lists it as uncharacterized. The record is from RefSeq and is a predicted model, not a curated record. NCBI's taxonomy places the organism in Eukaryota, Metazoa, Arthropoda, Insecta, Diptera, Culicidae. The transcript has 3 exons.
UGCUGUUAUGUCUGUCAUCCAACUGUCAUAUUGUUUGUUUGCAGCGGUUUGAACGUGUACUUGUUUGCAAGAAAGUACGCAAAGCAAAUUAAAAAGGUAACCCAGAGAGGACCGUUAAACCAUAAAUUAGUAAAUGUUCGUGUCCGUUUCUCAAAUUCAUAGGUUUUAUAUGCUUGGCCUAAAUCGAUGUCGUUCUUUCUGUCCGUGUCCAUCAAAGGAAAUAGAAGUGCGCGACGUGAUCCUAAAGUUAAAGUUAAAACUUAAAAGUUACGAUAGUAGUAGAUCUUAAAAACUAUUAUCACAGUUCGAAGUAGUACGAAUAUAAUAAGCCACAAGAAGAGUGAAGAAGCAUUGUUUAAACCCAAUUAGCCUCACAAAAAGGUCCGUCCAACGGGCCUUUUUGUGUUUUUUGCGAGUGCUUGCCUGGCAAGCCGAUCUUCCCCAGAACCCCCGGAACAACGUCAUAAAGGCUGAAGGAUUGGAAUCCGUCAACACAUUCCGAUCGGGAAUAUCCCCAAAACGGACAGAAACCCUAUCCAGCCCCAACGUUCCACCAAGGUUCAUCGAGGAGACCGACCGGUUUAUGUUACGGCGUAAAUUCGGUCUAGUCCAUCCGAACCCAGCUACGAACCGCCAUUGCUUGACGCCAACGAAACCGAGCAUCCCAGACCGGUUCAUGUUCCGGCGUGAAUUCGGUCACCCCUCAACCGCCCUUGGAAUCCGCCACCGAAGCCCGCACACCACCAGUUCCCGUACCACCUCUACCAACCAACAAGCGCACAAUCCCGAAAAAUUGUA